This 216-nucleotide ribosomal RNA is filed under the name uncultured bacterium. Its description in RNAcentral is "partial 16S ribosomal RNA". It matches the Rfam family "Bacterial small subunit ribosomal RNA", at positions 120 to 334 of the family's 1533-position model. The record is from RNAcentral.
AGCAACCUGCCUUUCAGAGGGGGAUAACAUUUGGAAACAGAUGCUAAUACCGCAUAAGAUUACAGUACCGCAUGAUACAGUGAUCAAAGGAGCAAUCCGCUGAAAGAUGGGCUCGCGUCCGAUUAGGUAGUUGGUGAGGUAACGGCUCACCAAGUCGACGAUCGGUAGCCGGACUGAGAGGUUGAACGGCCACAUUGGGACUGAGACACGGCCCAG